This 2490-nucleotide long non-coding RNA is filed under the name Hordeum vulgare. RNAcentral describes it as "long non-coding RNA (HVUL_LNC017491)". The record is from RNAcentral. Lineage: Eukaryota; Viridiplantae; Streptophyta; Magnoliopsida; Poales; Poaceae.
UUCGGGGAACCUCCUAGUAGGUUGCCAAAACCGUUGGCAACCGAAACUGGGCCGGCCGCACAAGCAUGACUAGCUACGAUUUUUUUAGAUACUAAAAUAAAAGCUACGAUUUUUUUGAGUUCAUUCAACUGCCAUCGAUUAUGUGUCGUUAGUUAUGCAUCACAAUAUUUUAUUAACUCAUUAAUUGAACCAACUUCCAAACUAUAUAUGAAAUAUCCCAAAAGUAGAAGUGGAUUCAAUUAAUUUAUCACUAACAGAUCCCUUGGCCAGAAAGUCCCAACCUCGGAUGUGUGGAUCCUAGGUCAGAAAGUGAGAUGACAUGCGGGGAAUCUCUAUAUUCAUUCGCCCAAUUUCCACGUAGACGCACUGAAGAAGAGGCUAAAAGAUAUCUGUUCGUGCCACGUGGCUUUCUUGCCACUAAAUAAUUUCUGAUGCCUCUCAAGCCUAGGCAGCUCAUGUGGAUACAACACACGCAUCGUUUUUACUCUUUAGAUGUAUGGACGAUCUCUGUUCAUCAAUGCUAGAGGAUUUUGGAACUGAGAGGCAAGGAAGAGACCGAUAUUUAUCGAUUGGAAGUUGGGGGCGUGAAGGUGGUGGCUCACUUUACCACUGCAUUGCAUUGCUUGCGCUACUCCUAUUUUGAGCACAUGGGGUAAACUUCUCUUUCAGCUUUGAUUUGCUAGCUUCACAUUUAUGUGCGGCAAAACCAUAUCUCUACUCCUAAAGGUACUUGCAGAAUGGUGUGGCGAAAGCACUAGACAAUUAACCAGCGAUUACCAACUACAUCACAACGCUUCUUGUCGUGCCCACAUGCCGUUGAGCCGCCGGCCUGCCCGAGCAGCCAUUGAUCAGCGUCAACCCCGUGAGGGAAAAGUAUGGUACAAGUUUCUGAGGUUGUUAGGUUGUGUGUUCCCCUAGGAUUUAAGUGUGACUGUAGUGCGGUUUUCUGUUUCUUGACUUGUUUCUAUAAGAACUUCAGUGCUUGAGUUUGAACCCCGUGUCCCCGUCAGAUUCACUUUGCUCAAAUUACUCAAUCAGAACUUGUGGUAUUCUGCAUGUUAUUGGCUCUGAAUCUUCCUUCAAUCGUCUUCCAAUUCUUCACAAGUCGAUGAAAUAUUUAUUUCACGCUGGUAUUCAUCGGCCAAUUUCUCAUAUUAGGAGUUGGGAUAAACAUCAAUUUGGCUCAAGGUAAUACACCCUAUUUUGUGCAGACCAAUGUUUUACUAAACUAAUUUGUACAAUUCAGUAUAAACUUGCUAAGGGUCCAGUAACUUGGGUAGGCUAAUAUCCCAUUUUGCCAAGAUUGCUAGACUUCGUGUAUUAAAAACUUCUGUUACUUUUGUACUGAUAUUUCCAGCAAGUGCUAGCAGAAGCAUGGUUUUGCCACAACGUGGGGCUUCAAGGAGAAGGGUCAUUCUCUACUCCGCCUCGAUGCGCAGGUUCCGCCAUCGCACCUCCACCGGCGGCUGCUGCAUGUUGACCCUGUCCAUCCCGCGGCGCUGGUGUCAGAGCAGGCGGAGGUUGCCCUUGCGGUUGUCGGCGAUGAGAGUGUGCACCAGUUCCCAUCGAUCCGCGGCCCAUAGCUAGCUCCAGCGUACGAACGUCGUCGACAUUCCCAUUGGUAUGUAGAGGGGAGCAAGAUGCGGAGCCUGUCGACGUCAUACGCUCGGAGGCCGCACAACCAGCUCGUGGUUACUCUAGAAUAUUUUAUUCAUGACUAGCAAAAUCCUUGCAGCCAGUAGCUAGGAAAGUAGAUAGAUCGAUGUUACUAUAUGUGGUUUGCUGUUUGUCUCUGUAAUAAUCUAGCUGCCAGCAUACCCACUUGAUGGUUGUCUCAAUAAGACACAUAUCUGAAAACAGACUUAGACCUGGGAGUUUACAUCUGCUUUGGUGGUCCUCUAUUCUAAUUGCUAUGUUUGCAUUUUUUACUUGAUUUAGGUGUAUAGAUAAGAGCAAAAGUGAACCAUGCUAGUUUGAUCAGGUUUGGGCAUACACAUAGCCAAAACUUUGAGUGAUAUUUAUGUUCUGGUAGCAUUAAAAUUUAGAUGCAAAAGAAUUAGGAAUUUGAUGUAUUAAAUUGUGUGCCAACAAAAAGAAGUGGCAACAUGGAUAGAUCUUUCAGGGCGUGUGAGGAUUUUAUUUCUCACGUUGCAACACACGGGCACAUUUACCUAUAUAUAUAUACUGUUAAAGGAGAUUAUGCACUCACGUAAUGGUACGUUGAUGGUACGUUCAUCCAUUAUGUACGUCGAUGGUAGGCAAGUUGGGUUCAACAGCCAUCACUGAAGAAACAUGUUCAUCCAACCAGACUACUUCAGAUCUUCAAUCAAAUGUGAGGCUUUCAGGAAGGUAACGAAUUAUGUAAGACAAUUAAAAUUUGUAUCCAUUGAUUGCUAUGUACUCCGUAUAUAGCUUGAAUGAAACAAAACCAUGGAUUUCUUGCAUAUCAUCCGGAUCCCAUAGAGGUUGAUGGAACAUACACUGAAUUCN